GAAACAUGCCUUGGGAGAUUGAGAGUCAUAUGAAGGAUUCAUAUCCGAAUCCGUUUACUUAAGGUAAUUUUCGAGGGCGAAAAUUCUUUAAGUGGGGAGAGUUGUAACACCCCAGUUUUUAGUAAAUUAUUUUAAUUUAAUUAUACUUUUGUGUAUUUAUUUGUGUAUUUAUUUGAUUAUUGUAUGUGGGUGAAUAAAUGAAUGUGAGUGAAAGAGAGGGUAAAUGACCUUGUAGUUGGAUGUGGAGAG
Molecule: long non-coding RNA, 249 nt
Filed under: Lathyrus oleraceus (garden pea)
Lineage: Eukaryota; Viridiplantae; Streptophyta; Magnoliopsida; Fabales; Fabaceae
Description: Pisum sativum (pea) long non-coding RNA (PSAT_LNC026595)
Source: RNAcentral